RNAcentral lists this ribosomal RNA (1219 nucleotides) under Rhagoletis pomonella (apple maggot). Its description in RNAcentral is "partial 16S ribosomal RNA". The record is from RNAcentral. Lineage: Eukaryota; Metazoa; Arthropoda; Insecta; Diptera; Tephritidae.
UGCAAAUCAAUAUAAAUUGAUUAAUAUUUAUUUAUUAAUUUAUAUUGAUUUUAUUUAUAAUUUAUUAAAAAUAAUUAUAUAAUUUAAUGUUUUAGUAAUUUGUAGUGAAAAAAUAAUAUUAAUAAUAGUUUAUUAAGUAUUGUGAAAGAUAAUUGAAAUAAUUUGAAAAAUUAUUAUUUAAAAAGAAAAUUUUAUUUAUUGUACCUUGUGUAUCAGGGUUUAUCAAAUAAUUAAUAAUUAUUUAUUAAUCUCGAUUUUAUAAGAGUUAAUUAUUUAUUAAAGUUAAUGUGUCAAAAUUAUUUAAAAUAGAUAAUUAGAAAUGAAAUGUUAUUCGUUUAUAAAGGUAUCUAGUUUUUUUAGAAAUAAAUUUAAUUUACAAGUUUUUAAUUUUUUGUUUAUUUAUUAAAAUAAAAAAAUUAUUAAUUUGAAUAUUUUAAGGGAUAAGCUUUAAAAUAAAUUAUUAAAAAUGAGUAAUUUUAAUAUAAAAUGUAUGAAUAGAAUUUUCAAUCAUUUGUAAAUUUGUUAUAAAUUAUUUUAUAAUUUUUAUUAUUUACUAUUAUUUUAAGUUUUUAUAAAAAUUUUUUCAUAAAUUUUUUAUGAAAAUUAAUAAUGAUAAAAUUAGUAUAUUUUAUAUUGUACAUAUAAUUUUAUUUGAUAAGUUUAUAUAAAGAACUCGGCAAAUUUAUAUACUCGCCUGUUUAACAAAAACAUGUCUUUUUGAGUUAUUUUUAAAGUCUGACCUGCCCACUGAAUAAUUUUGAAUGGCCGCAGUAUUUUAACUGUGCAAAGGUAGCAUAAUCAUUAGUCUUUUAAUUGAAGGCUGGUAUGAAUGGUUGGACGAAGUAUAAUCUGUUUCAUAAAAAUUUAUUGUAGAAUUUUAUAUUUUAGUUAAAAAGCUAAAAUUUAAUUAAAAGACGAGAAGACCCUAUAAAUCUUUAUAUUUAAUAUAAUUUUAAUUUUUUUGAUGUAUUUUAUUUUAAUUUUAUUAAUUAUUUUGUUGGGGUGAUGUUAAAAUUUAAUGAACUUUUAAUUAUUAAAAAUCAUUAAUUUAUGAUUUAUUGAUCCGUUAAUAACGAUUAUAAGAUUAAGUUACUUUAGGGAUAACAGCGUAAUUUUUUUGGAGAGUUCUUAUUGAUAAAAAAGUUUGCGACCUCGAUGUUGGAUUAAGAUAUAUUUUUAGGUGUAGCCGCUUAAAUAUUAAGUCUGUUCGACUUUUAAA